UUUGAGUGGCGGACGGGUGAGUAACGCGUGGGUAACCUGCCUUACACAGGGGGAUAACACCUGGAAACAGGUGCUAAUACCGCAUAAGCGCACAGGGCCGCAUGGCCCGGUGUGAAAAACUCCGGUGGUGUAAGAUGGACCCGCGUCUGAUUAGCUUGUUGGCGGGGUAGAGGCCCACCAAGGCGACGAUCAGUAGCCGGCCUGAGAGGGUGGACGGCCACAUUGGGGCUGAGACACGGCCCAAACUCCUACGGAAGGCAGCAG
RNAcentral lists this ribosomal RNA (264 nucleotides) under uncultured bacterium. RNAcentral describes it as "partial 16S ribosomal RNA". It matches the Rfam family "Bacterial small subunit ribosomal RNA", at positions 90 to 354 of the family's 1533-position model. The record is from RNAcentral.